AGCAGCCGCGGUAAUUCCAGCUCCAAUAGCGUAUAUUAAAGUUGUUGCAGUUAAAAAGCUCGUAGUUGAAUUUCGGGAUUGACACAUCGGUCGUGCCCUAAGGGGUAUGAACUGGUGUAGUCAAUUUCUCACCUUCUGGAGAACCGCGAUGCCCUUAAUUGGGUGUCGCGGGGAACCAGGACCUUUACUUUGAAAAAAUUAGAGUGUUUAAAGCAGGCAUUUUGCUUGAAUACAUUAGCAUGGAAUAAUAAAAUAGGACGGCAUGAUUCUAUUUUGUUGGUUUCUAGGAUCACCGUAAUGAUUAAUAGGGAUAGUUGGGGGCAUUAGUAUUCAAUUGUCAGAGGUGAAAUUCUUGGAUUUAUUGAAGACUAACUACUGCGAAAGCAUUUGCCAAGGAUGUUUUCAUUAAUCAAGAACGAAAGUUAGGGGAUCGAAGACGAUCAGAUACCGUCGUAGUCUUAACCAUAAACUAUGCCGACUAGGAAUCAGACGAUGUUAAUUUUUUAAUGACUCGUUUGGC
RNAcentral lists this unclassified non-coding RNA (520 nucleotides) under uncultured Entrophospora. Its description in RNAcentral is "SSU rRNA". It matches the Rfam family "Eukaryotic small subunit ribosomal RNA", at positions 569 to 1084 of the family's 1831-position model. Lineage: Eukaryota; Fungi; Glomeromycota; Glomeromycetes; Entrophosporales; Entrophosporaceae. The record is from RNAcentral.